AUGUACCAUAUACAUGGUAAGCAUUGUGUUCUAUGUUGUUUACUUGUAAUGUCUGUGCUGUCUAGUUUUAUUUAAGUAAUUGUCUGUUUAUGUGAAGUGUAGUUUAUGUGAUAUAUUUAUGUUGGUCAGAAUUUGUAUACUUUGUAUACAAAUUUAUUUAUAAAAUGGACAACUCUUUAAAAGAUUUGAGAUGUAUAUAAUUAUUUAUUACUAUGAGAUCCAUAUGAAUAUUGUAUUGGAAAGUUAACUAAAGGGUUAGAUUUUUGUGAGUAAAGGGCUUAUUUGAGUAUAUAGAUAUUUAAAGGAAUGAGUAUAAAUUGUAGUUAUUCCCCUUUGCCCAUAUGUUACAUGUACUGUCUUGUCAUGUGAAUAUUUAUUAUUUGUUGUUAUAUGUUUUAGGGUCUAAAUAUAGUGUAUUAAAAGAAAAGAACCCUAGAUCAUCGUUUGUGUUGUAUUUACCUAGAAAAUACCCCGUUACAUUUGGCGCCCACAAAGGUUUAUCGUUUGGAGCCUCACAGAAGCUGUGACCUGGAAUGAACCGUGAACCGGAAGUGAUUGUUUCACAUGGACAAAUGAGAAAAUCAACACAGUUUUGCAGUGAUGAUGUGAACAUUUAUGCUUUUGCAUUGUGUAUUUAUUAUUUGUGAUUGAAAGACAUACCUAUUUGGAUAUGGAUUAAUACCUUUUCAUAUGACAUGUAUGAGUAGUGCUCAGAUUUAUACACAGCACUGUGAUGUUUCCAAUUUCUACACUGACCUAUGUACCAUAUACAUGGUAAGCAUUGUGUUCUAUGUUGUUUACUUGUAAUGUCUGUGCUGUCUAGUUUUAUUUAAGUAAUUGUCUGUUUAUGUGAAGUGUAGUUUAUGUGAUAUAUUUAUGUUGGUCAGAAUUUGUAUACUUUGUAUACACAUUUAUUUAUAAAAUGGACAACUCUUUAAAAGAUUUGAGAUGUAUAUAAUUAUUUAUUACUAUGAGAUACAUAUGAAUAUUGUAUUGGAAAGUUAACUAAAGGGUUAGAUUUUUGUGAGUAAAGGGCUUAUUUGAGUAUAUAGAUAUUUAAAGGAAUGAGUAUAAAUUGUAGUUAUUCCCCUUUGCCCAUAUGUUACAUGUACUGUCUUGUCAUGUGAAUAUUUAUUAUUUGUUGUUAUAUGUUUUAGGGUCUAAAUAUAGUGUAUUAAAAGAAAAGAACCCUAGAUCAUCGUUUGUGUUGUAUUUACCUAGAAAAUACCCCGUUACA
Mytilus californianus (California mussel) is the source of this 1237-nucleotide long non-coding RNA. RefSeq lists it as uncharacterized. The transcript has 2 exons. Lineage: Eukaryota; Metazoa; Mollusca; Bivalvia; Mytilida; Mytilidae. The record is from RefSeq and is a predicted model, not a curated record.